Molecule: long non-coding RNA, 252 nt
Organism: Oncorhynchus keta (chum salmon)
Lineage: Eukaryota; Metazoa; Chordata; Actinopteri; Salmoniformes; Salmonidae
Exons: 2
Source: RefSeq, a predicted model, not a curated record
AGAAACCCAUUUACAGAACGACGUGGAGGAGGAGAAACCCAUUUACAGAACGACGUGGAGGAGGAGAAACCCAUUUACAGAACGACGUGGAGGAGGAGAAACCCAUUUACAGAACGACGUGGAGGAGAAACCCAUUUACAGAACGACAUGGAGGAGGAGAAACCCAUUUACAGAACGACAUGGAGGAGGAGAAACCCAUUUACAGAACGACGAGGAGGAGAAACCCAUUUACAGAACGACGUGGAGGAGGAG